RNAcentral lists this ribosomal RNA (301 nucleotides) under uncultured bacterium. RNAcentral describes it as "partial 16S ribosomal RNA". It matches the Rfam family "Bacterial small subunit ribosomal RNA", at positions 509 to 808 of the family's 1533-position model. The record is from RNAcentral.
CAGUCGCCGCGGUAAUACGUAGGUCCCGAGCGUUGUCCGGAUUUAUUGGGCGUAAAGCGAGCGCAGGCGGUUAGAUAAGUCUGAAGUUAAAGGCUGUGGCUUAACCAUAGUACGCUUUGGAAACUGUUUAACUUGAGUGCGAGAGGGGAGAGUGGCAUUCCAUGUGUAGCGGUGAAAUGCGUAGAUAUAUGGAGGAACACCGGUGGCGAAAGCGGCUCUCUGGCUUGUAACUGACGCUGAGGCUCGAAAGCGUGGGGAGCAAACAGGAUUAGAUACCCCCGUAGUCCCUGUCUCUUAUACA